UAGAGCCGUAUACGAGACCCGUACGUACGGUUCAAUUAUCUCGAAUUCGGGAUAAUCAAAAAGUUGUGAUAAGUUCAAUGGGAGGGGCAAUAAAUCUAGAAUUUAUUUCUCUACCCUAU
RNAcentral lists this unclassified non-coding RNA (119 nucleotides) under Thomasclavelia cocleata. The record is from RNAcentral. Lineage: Bacteria; Bacillati; Bacillota; Erysipelotrichia; Erysipelotrichales; Coprobacillaceae.